UACGUAGGGUGCAAGCGUUGUCCGGAAUUAUUGGGCGUAAAGAGCUCGUAGGCGGUCUGUCACGUCGGCUGUGAAAACCCGAGGCUCAACCUCGGGCCUGCAGUCGAUACGGGCAGGCUAGAGUUCGGUAGGGGAGACUGGAAUUCCUGGUGUAGCGGUGAAAUGCGCAGAUAUCAGGAGGAACACCGGUGGCGAAGGCGGGUCUCUGGGCCGAUACUGACGCUGAGGAGCGAAAGCGUGGGGAGCGAACAGG
This 253-nucleotide ribosomal RNA is filed under the name uncultured bacterium. RNAcentral's name for it is "partial 16S ribosomal RNA". It matches the Rfam family "Bacterial small subunit ribosomal RNA", at positions 524 to 776 of the family's 1533-position model. The record is from RNAcentral.